RNAcentral lists this ribosomal RNA (482 nucleotides) under uncultured bacterium. RNAcentral describes it as "partial 16S ribosomal RNA". It matches the Rfam family "Bacterial small subunit ribosomal RNA", at positions 28 to 507 of the family's 1533-position model. The record is from RNAcentral.
GAUGAACGCUAGCGGCAGGCCUAAUACAUGCAAGUCGAACGAGAUUACGAGGCUUGCUUCUUAUGAAAGUGGCGCACGGGUGCGUAACGCGUAUGCAACCUACCUUAAUCAAGGGGAUAGCCCGAAGAAAUUCGGAUUAAGCCCGCAUAAAAACACAGGAUAGCAUUAUCCAAUGUUCAAAUAUUUAUAGGAUUAAGAUGGGCAUGCGUGUCAUUAGCUAGUUGGCGGGGUAACGGCCCACCAAGGCGACGAUGACUAGGGGAUCUGAGAGGAUGACCCCCCACACUGGUACUGAGACACGGACCAGACUCCUACGGGAGGCAGCAGUAAGGAAUAUUGGUCAAUGGAGGGAACUCUGAACCAGCCAUGCCGCGUGCAGGAAGACAGCCCUCUGGGUCGUAAACUGCUUUUAUUCGGGAAUAAACCUUUCUACGUGUAGGAAGCUGAAUGUACCGAAGGAAUAAGGAUCGGCUAACUCCGUG